This 468-nucleotide ribosomal RNA is filed under the name uncultured bacterium. RNAcentral's name for it is "partial 16S ribosomal RNA". It matches the Rfam family "Bacterial small subunit ribosomal RNA", at positions 28 to 507 of the family's 1533-position model. The record is from RNAcentral.
GACGAACGCUGGCGGCGUGCUUAACACAUGCAAGUCGAACGGAAAGGCCCUGCUUUUGUGGGGUGCUCGAGUGGCGAACGGGUGAGUAACACGUGAGUAACCUGCCCUUGACUUUGGGAUAACUUCAGGAAACUGGGGCUAAUACCGGAUAGGAGCUCCUGCUGCAUGGUGGGGGUUGGAAAGUUUCGGCGGUUGGGGAUGGACUCGCGGCUUAUCAGCUUGUUGGUGGGGUAGUGGCUUACCAAGGCUUUGACGGGUAGCCGGCCUGAGAGGGUGACCGGCCACAUUGGGACUGAGAUACGGCCCAGACUGCUACGUGAGGCAGCAGUGGGGAAUAUUGCACAAUGGGCGGAAGCCUGAUGCAGCAACGCCGCGUGCGGGAUGACGGCCUUCGGGUUGUAAACCGCUUUCGCCUGUGACGAAGCGUGAGUGACGGUAAUGGGUAAAGAAGCACCGGCUAACUACGUG